GGAGGGUUCGCAUAGUUGGUCCAUUGCGGGGGUUUGCUAAAUCCCUGAGUCGUAAGACUCACGCAGGUUCGAAUCCUGUACCCUCCGCCA
RNAcentral lists this transfer RNA (90 nucleotides) under Candidatus Levyibacteriota bacterium. RNAcentral describes it as "tRNA-Ser". It matches the Rfam family "tRNA". Rfam says of the family: Transfer RNA (tRNA) molecules are approximately 80 nucleotides in length. Their secondary structure includes four short double-helical elements and three loops (D, anti-codon, and T loops). Further hydrogen bonds mediate the characteristic L-shaped molecular structure. tRNAs have two regions of fundamental functional importance: the anti-codon, which is responsible for specific mRNA codon recognition, and the 3' end, to which the tRNAs corresponding amino acid is attached (by aminoacyl-tRNA synthetases). tRNAs cope with the degeneracy of the genetic code in two manners: having more than one tRNA (with a specific anti-codon) for a particular amino acid; and 'wobble' base-pairing, i.e. permitting non-standard base-pairing at the 3rd anti-codon position. Lineage: Bacteria; Candidatus Levyibacteriota. The record is from RNAcentral.